GAUGAACGCUGGCGGCGUGCCUAAUACAUGCAAGUCGAGCGAACAGAUAAGGAGCUUGCUCCUUUGACGUUAGCGGCGGACGGGUGAGUAACACGUGGGUAACCUACCUAUAAGACUGGGAUAACUUCGGGAAACCGGAGCUAAUACCGAAUAACAUUUGGAACCGCAUGGUUCUAAAGUGAAAGAUGGUUUUGCUAUCACUUAUAGAUGGACCCGCGCCGUAUUAGCUAGUUGGUAAGGUAACGGCUUACCAAGGCGACGAUACGUAGCCGACCUGAGAGGGUGAUCGGCCACACUGGAACUGAGACACGGUCCAGACUCCUACGGGAGGCAGCAGUAGGGAAUCUUCCGCAAUGGGCGAAAGCCUGACGGAGCAACGCCGCGUGAGUGAUGAAGGGUUUCGGCUCGUAAAACUCUGUUAUUAGGGAAGAACAAAUGUGUAAGUAACUGUGCACGUCUUGACGGUACCUAAUCAGAAAGCCACGGCUAACUACGUG
Molecule: ribosomal RNA, 497 nt
Filed under: uncultured bacterium
Lineage: Bacteria
Description: partial 16S ribosomal RNA
Rfam family: Bacterial small subunit ribosomal RNA
Source: RNAcentral